RNAcentral lists this ribosomal RNA (372 nucleotides) under uncultured bacterium. RNAcentral's name for it is "bacterial SSU rRNA". It matches the Rfam family "Bacterial small subunit ribosomal RNA", at positions 524 to 898 of the family's 1533-position model. The record is from RNAcentral.
UACGGAGGAUCCGAGCGUUAUCCGGAUUUACUGGGUUUAAAGGGUGCGUAGGCGGGCCAUUAAGUCAGCGGUGAAAGGCGGCGGCUCAACCGUCGGAAUGCCGUUGAUACUGGGGGCCUUGGAUGCGGUCGAGGCGGGUGGAAUGCGCGGUGUAGCGGUGAAAUGCUUAGAUAUCGCGCAGAACGCCGAUUGCGAAGGCAGCUCGCCAGGCCGUGAUCGACGCUGAGGCACGACAGCGUGGGGAUCGAACAGGAUUAGAUACCCUGGUAGUCCACGCCGUAAACGAUGAUGGCUGGGUGUUGGCGGUACACGGCCAGCGCCUGAGCGAAAGCAUUAAGCCAUCCACCUGGGGAGUACGGCCGCAAGGCUGAA